GAUGAACGCUAGCGGCAGGCUUAAUACAUGCAAGUCGUGGGGCAGCAGGACUGUAGCAAUACAGUUGCUGGCGACCGGCAAACGGGUGCGGAACACGUACGCAACUUACCCUGAACUGGGGGAUAGCCCGGGGAAACCCGGUUUAAUACCCCGUAAUCUAAUGGAGUGGCAUCACUUUAUUAUUAAAGCUCUGGCGGUUCGGGAUGGGCGUGCGGCUGAUUAGGUAGUUGGUUGAGGUAACGGCUCACCAAGCCUACUAUCAGUAACUCGUGUGUGAGCAGGACCAGUCAGACGGGCACAGGGACCCGGGCCCGACGCCUACGAGAGGCAGCAGUAAGGAAUAUAGGGCAAUGGAGGCGACUCUGACCCAGCCAUGCCGCGUGGAGGAUGAAGGCCCUGUGGGUUGUAAACUUCUUUUAUAGGGGACGAAACCUGUGUAUUCUUACGCAGUUGACGGUACCCUAGGAAUAAGCACCGGCUAACUCCGUG
This 489-nucleotide ribosomal RNA is filed under the name uncultured bacterium. RNAcentral describes it as "partial 16S ribosomal RNA". It matches the Rfam family "Bacterial small subunit ribosomal RNA", at positions 28 to 507 of the family's 1533-position model. The record is from RNAcentral.